RNAcentral lists this ribosomal RNA (370 nucleotides) under uncultured organism. Its description in RNAcentral is "bacterial SSU rRNA". It matches the Rfam family "Bacterial small subunit ribosomal RNA", at positions 526 to 896 of the family's 1533-position model. The record is from RNAcentral.
CGAAGGGGGCUAGCGUUGCUCGGAAUUACUGGGCGUAAAGGGGGCGUAGGCGGGUUAUCAAGUUGGAGGUGAAAGCCCAGGGCUCAACCUUGGAAUUGCCUUCAAAACUGAUAGCCUAGAGUAUGGAAGAGGUAAGUGGAACUCCGAGUGUAGAGGUGAAAUUCGUAGAUAUUCGGAAGAACACCAGUGGCGAAGGCGACUUACUGGUCCACGACUGACGCUGAGGCUCGAAAGCGUGGGGAGCAAACAGGAUUAGAUACCCUGGUAGUCCACGCUGUAAACGAUGAUUGCUAGUUGUUGGCCGGCAUGCCGGUCGGUGACGCAGCUAACGCAUUAAGCAAUCCGCCUGGGGAGUACGGUCGCAAGAUUA